RNAcentral lists this ribosomal RNA (450 nucleotides) under uncultured bacterium. Its description in RNAcentral is "partial 16S ribosomal RNA". It matches the Rfam family "Bacterial small subunit ribosomal RNA", at positions 354 to 796 of the family's 1533-position model. The record is from RNAcentral.
GUGGGGAAUUUUGGACAAUGGGCGAAAGCCUGAUCCAGCCAUGCCGCGUGCAGGAUGAAGGCCUUCGGGUUGUAAACUGCUUUUGUACGGAACGAAAAGACUCCUUCUAAUAAAGGGGGUCCAUGACGGUACCGUAAGAAUAAGCACCGGCUAACUACGUGCCAGCAGCCGCGGUAAUACGUAGGGUGCAAGCGUUAAUCUGAAUUACUGGGCGUAAAGCGUGCGCAGGCGGUUAUAUAAGACAGAUGUGAAAUCCCCGGGCUCAACCUGGGAACUGCAUUUGUGACUGUAUAGCUAGAGUACGGUAGAGGGGGAUGGAAUUCCGCGUGUAGCAGUGAAAUGCGUAGAUAUGCGGAGGAACACCGAUGGCGAAGGCAAUCCCCUGGACCUGUACUGACGCUCAUGCACGAAAGCGUGGGGAGCAAACAGGAUUAGAUACCCGGGUAGUCC